Molecule: long non-coding RNA, 526 nt
Filed under: Mus musculus (house mouse)
Lineage: Eukaryota; Metazoa; Chordata; Mammalia; Rodentia; Muridae
Description: expressed sequence AI463170
Source: RNAcentral
GGCAGUCCACUCCAUGAAGAGGGAGGCCUUGACACACAAGAGAAAGAAGUAGUGAAGUCUGAGCAAGGAUCUGCCCCCGGCUCCCUGCACCUGCCUCCUAGAGCUACACAGAUGAACAAUCAACAUCACCACCCCCUGUGGAUUCUGGGAAAAAGACACUGUUUUCCCAUUAUGCAUGUGUGUAUGUAUGCGUGUAUGGGGACAGUGUGAUCACACAGGACCUUCUCUAGCCACCCAUCCGUGAAUGUUGAGAGAAGACCUCUGAAGUCCCCAAGCAAAGCACUCCAAAAGCCACAGAGCUGUCUGCGAGUCACAUGGCCAAACCUACUGGAAGCACCCAGGCAAGAGAGCAGUCCCGGGAAGGUGGCCAGGGACUGGGGAGCGGCAUUCUCUCCGGAGUUCGGCAGCCCAGCAGUUAACAGGCUCGGGCUGGGCAAGCAACGAACUGCCACCAACAACCUCGGGAAUUAAAGCGCCCGCUGCCUCCUGCUGAAACCUCUUCAAUAAACGGUCCUAUUCAGAACCA